CAGAAGGUAGUUUAAUUAAAAUAUUAGACUUGGGUUCUAAAGAUCUAAGGUCUUCUGA
RNAcentral lists this transfer RNA (58 nucleotides) under Docophoroides brevis. Its description in RNAcentral is "tRNA-Pro". The record is from RNAcentral. Lineage: Eukaryota; Metazoa; Arthropoda; Insecta; Psocodea; Philopteridae.